RNAcentral lists this ribosomal RNA (253 nucleotides) under uncultured bacterium. Its description in RNAcentral is "partial 16S ribosomal RNA". It matches the Rfam family "Bacterial small subunit ribosomal RNA", at positions 524 to 776 of the family's 1533-position model. The record is from RNAcentral.
GACGGAGGAUGCAAGCGUUAUCCGGAAUGAUUGGGCGUAAAGCGUCCGCAGGUGGCAGUUCAAGUCUGCUGUCAAAGACCGGGGCUUAACUUCGGAAAGGCAGUGGAAACUGAACAGCUAGAGUAUGGUAGGGGCAGAGGGAAUUCCUGGUGUAGCGGUGAAAUACGUAGAGAUCAGGAAGAACAUCGGUGGCGAAGGCGCUCUGCUGGACCAUAACUGACACUCAGGGACGAAAGCUAGGGGAGCGAAUGGG